AGACCACAUCAGAUCUGUGGGGCCAAGAUGAAGUGUGAAAGCCUCUGGCUCUAACUUGAAUGAGAUAAUUCCUGGACAGAGAUCUAUGGAGGAGAAGCUUAAAGAAGUUCCAGGGGAGAAAGGGCUGCUUGGCACCAGCCAUGAAGAUCCACAGGUGCCCAUAGUAAAUCUACAAAUUCUUGUUUGAAGAAAGUUCCAAAAUGAGGAGAGGAAGCUUGAGAAGUGACAUAUUCCCAGUCCCUCAGCCCUUCUCCCUUUCCAAUGAUCCCCCUUCUCAGAGCUGCACUUCCCAUUCCCCUCCCCGAUCUCUUUGUUACACUUUCCAUCUCCAUCUUUACAAAAGCCUCUGCCUGCAUUGAGAUUAUUAAGGUGGCUUUUUGAGGACUGGAAAGUCCCCCAUCUUCUCGAGAUGCCGGCAUUCAAAUAAACAUCUUUCCUUUUUCACCAGCA
Myotis brandtii (Brandt's bat) is the source of this 450-nucleotide long non-coding RNA. RefSeq lists it as uncharacterized. The record is from RefSeq and is a predicted model, not a curated record. Lineage: Eukaryota; Metazoa; Chordata; Mammalia; Chiroptera; Vespertilionidae. The transcript has 2 exons.